RNAcentral lists this transfer RNA (73 nucleotides) under Euhalothece sp. KZN 001. Its description in RNAcentral is "tRNA-Arg". It matches the Rfam family "tRNA". Rfam says of the family: Transfer RNA (tRNA) molecules are approximately 80 nucleotides in length. Lineage: Bacteria; Bacillati; Cyanobacteriota; Cyanophyceae; Chroococcales; Halothecacae. The record is from RNAcentral.
GGGCGCGUAGCUCAGGGGAUAGAGCACCAGAUUCCGGUUCUGGGUGUCGAAGGUUCAAAUCCUUCCGUGCCCG